GAGGGUAGAACUCAGUGGUAGAGCGUGUGCUUAGCAUGCACAAGGUCCUGGGUUUAAUCCCCAGUACCUCCA
Molecule: transfer RNA, 72 nt
Filed under: Camelus ferus (Wild Bactrian camel)
Lineage: Eukaryota; Metazoa; Chordata; Mammalia; Artiodactyla; Camelidae
Rfam family: tRNA
About the family: Transfer RNA (tRNA) molecules are approximately 80 nucleotides in length. Their secondary structure includes four short double-helical elements and three loops (D, anti-codon, and T loops).
Source: Rfam by way of RNAcentral